GGUGCAAACCGGCUUAUCGCUUUGAUGCAGAUCAGGGAGGAAAGUCCGGGCAGUGCAGAGCAUCGUGCUUCCUAACAGGAAGGCUUUGGGUUGGUGACGAUUCAGGGACAGAAAGUGCCACAGAAAGGGAAACUACUCAGGUAAAAACAUUGUUUUUAUCUGAGAAAAGGUGAAAAGGUGAGGUAAGAGCUCACCGGGUAAUUGGUAACAAGUGCCGCAUGGUAAACCUCACGAACUGAAAGACCAUGUAAACUGGGGAUGUCCGUCAAUGGCGGAUGAGAGGGCUGCUCGUCCGAUCUCAGAGGGUAGGUCGAUAGACAUUGACGGUGACGUCAAUGCCAGAUAAAUGAUAAGCAUUUCGUAUUGAAAUACAGAACCCGGCUUAUAGGUUUGCACUUUUU
This 401-nucleotide RNase P RNA is filed under the name Flavobacteriia bacterium 40-80. Its description in RNAcentral is "RNase P RNA component class A". It matches the Rfam family "Bacterial RNase P class A". From Rfam's summary of the family: Ribonuclease P (RNase P) is a ubiquitous endoribonuclease, found in archaea, bacteria and eukarya as well as chloroplasts and mitochondria. RNAcentral also lists the same sequence under 1 other name. Lineage: Bacteria; Pseudomonadati; Bacteroidota; Flavobacteriia. The record is from RNAcentral.